GGGCUUGACAUCCCACGAACCUGCCUGAAAGGGCGGGGUGCCCGCAAGGGAGCGCGGAGACAGGUGGUGCAUGGCUGUCGUCAGCUCGUGUCGUGAGAUGUUGGGUUAAGUCCCGCAACGAGCGCAACCCUCACCCCUAGUUGCCACCGGGUCAUGCCGAGCACUCAAGGAGAACUGCCAGCGUCAAGCUGGAGGAAGGCGGGGAUGACGUCAAGUCAUCAUGCCCCUUACGCCCUGGGCUACACACGUGCUACAAUGGCCGGUACAAAGGGAUGCGAGACCGCGAGGUGGAGCUAAUCCCAAAAAGCUGGUCUAAGUUCAGAUUGCAGUCUGCAACUCGACUGCAUGAAGGAGGAAUCGCUAGUAAUCGCGCAUCAGCCCGGCGCGGUGAAUACGUUCCCGGGCCUUUACACACCGCCCGUCACACCACGAAAGCUGUCUGUACUCGAAGUCGCUGAG
RNAcentral lists this ribosomal RNA (459 nucleotides) under NC10 bacterium enrichment culture clone SBR 4-13. RNAcentral describes it as "bacterial SSU rRNA". It matches the Rfam family "Bacterial small subunit ribosomal RNA", at positions 977 to 1434 of the family's 1533-position model. The record is from RNAcentral. Lineage: Bacteria; Methylomirabilota (SeqCode).